Molecule: long non-coding RNA, 1444 nt
Filed under: Olea europaea subsp. europaea
Lineage: Eukaryota; Viridiplantae; Streptophyta; Magnoliopsida; Lamiales; Oleaceae
Source: RNAcentral
CCACACUUGUAUAUUUUUGUGUUUUCACUUUGGUACUGACACAGUGCGUUGUGUGGAUAAGUUUAAGAGGAAGGAGUACCAGCUCCUGACAUGGCGUCCAUUCUGAAGGCAACCUCUACUGUGAAGGCACAGCCCCUGAAGCCCAAGUCCAGUGGUGCAAAGGAGGUCCGAGGUAGGGUUGAACGACUCUCCAGGGACAGGACUUCUCGGGCUUCUGAAGAGGGGGUUCCCCAAACGCAAAAGAAGGCCAAAGAGCCUCGGAGGAAGGAAAAGAUCACUGAGGAGCCGAAGAAGAGGAAACUCGUGCACCUCUCCAGCUCUUCUAGAAAACUUAGGAGUUCUGUGUCCCCAAGUAAAGAAGCCAGACCUCUAAAGCUACUAGAAGCCACCUCGAAAGCAAUCAAGAUUGAAAUGGUCAGGCGUGUUGAGGUUGAGGAGGCGAGAGACGAGGCUGCGAGGAGGCAAGCCGAGGUAGCUGAGGAAGAGGCUGCCAAAGAGAGGUCUGUUAGCGUACAAGGCAAGUCUCCGAGCUUCCUUACCGGCAGGGAGGAGCCUCUGGCCCCCAGCUUUGGUGGAGGCCCUGCCACCUGAGAUCCAAAGCUCCACAGAAAGUUUUUUUAGAUAUUGGACGGAUCGGUGGUAGCUGCACGCCUCCUCCUGUGAUGCUACGGAUUUAACCAGGGCUCUUGUGAGCUAAAGUGUUAGGACCUUUGGGCUCACACUGGAGUGUAGGGAGGCUCUUACAGACUAUCAGAUGAAGACCCUGUCCUCUGAGAAGAAGGCCGCCUCCCUUACAGAGGAGCUGAAGGCAACUGAGGCCGAAGCCGAAGAUGCCAGAGCCCAAAAACUUGAAGAAUCGGCCAAGCUGGAGUCUACCUUGGCUCAGAUAGAAGCAUUGAAGAGGGAGGUGCAUGAGUUCCAGUGCGAGGUGGCCUCCUUAACGAAGAAUGUGGAGGUUUCCAAUGACCACCAAAGGGUGAUAGUUGAAGCCUUGGAGAAGGCUAAUCUGGAGCUGGCAGGGGCCCAAGAUGCAUACAAGUACCUCGAGGGCCAAGUUAAGUGUUAUGUUGAUGAUGCAACCUAUGCUAGGGAGGAAGCCCGAAAUGCAAGGGAGGGGGCAGUGAAGGACUAUAUUGCUAAUUUUCACAACACUGCGGAGUACCAGAGCUUCGGUACCUAUUGGAGGAACUUUGCUUACGUCGAGGUGAUGGAGAGGGCUGAGGAGUUGUACCCAAAUCAGGACCUGCCGCAAUUCAGGUCGGAGUUUGUAGACGAGGUGCUUCAAACCCCAGUUGAUGAGGCGGUGGGAGUUGAAGCAGCAAAGGCAGGAGAAGCAAUUUCUGACGCCCAAGUUGCUGAUGUCCCAACUGCUGAAGCACCUCCAUCACCUUCCCAGGCUUAGGAUAGUUUUCUUUUCAGUCAUUGACAAUGUACUGGCCUCAGG